Molecule: ribosomal RNA, 529 nt
Filed under: uncultured Nitrososphaerota archaeon
Lineage: Archaea; Thermoproteati; Nitrososphaerota
Description: bacterial SSU rRNA
Rfam family: Archaeal small subunit ribosomal RNA
Source: RNAcentral
CUGGUGUCAGCCGCCGCGGUAAUACCAGCACCUCGAGUGGUCAGGACGUUUAUUGGGCCUAAAGCAUCCGUAGCCGGCUCUGCAAGUCUUCGGUUACAUCCACCUGCUCAACAGAUGGGCUGCUGGAGAUACUACAGAGCUAGGGAGUGGGAGAGGCAGACGGUAUUCAGUGGGUAGGGGUAAAAUCCUCUGAUCCAUUGAGGACCACCAGUGGCGAAGGCGGUCUGCCAGAACACGUUCGACGGUGAGGGAUGAAAGCUGGGGGAGCAAACCGGAUUAGAUACCCGGGUAGUCCCAGCUGUAAACGAUGCAAACUCGGUGAUGCAUUGGCUUAUGGCCAAUGCAGUGCCGCAGGGAAGCCGUUAAGUUUGCCGCCUGGGAAGUACGGACGCAAGUCUGAAACUUAAAGGAAUUGGCGGGGGAGCACCACAAGGGGUGAAGCCUGCGGUUCAAUUGGAGUCAACGCCAGGAAUCUUACCCGGGGAGACAGCAGAAUGAAGGUCAAGCUGAAGACUUUACCAGACAAGCU